Sus scrofa (pig) is the source of this 6257-nucleotide long non-coding RNA. RefSeq lists it as uncharacterized. Lineage: Eukaryota; Metazoa; Chordata; Mammalia; Artiodactyla; Suidae. The record is from RefSeq and is a predicted model, not a curated record.
CGACCCCUGGCCCAGACCUCCACAGGCCGCGGAUGCGGCCCUAAAAACCAAAAAACAACAAAAAAACUAAGACUGGAAACAGCCUGUAUCGCUCUGCUGUCGUUUUUGGUGGUAAAUUACCCUUUUCUAACACCUGAGUUACUUAUGUCCGAAACGUUCUUUCUCGUUGGCUGCGUUCCCACCAGACUACUCGUCAGCCAUUGUCUCUCUCACCUGAGCUGUUAUUUAUGACGGGAAUGUCCUCUUGUCACCUAAGUGUUCACGAGACAGGAGGCCUUCUCUCCCCUCCAUCUAACGCGUCAGCUAAAAGCGCCUGUUCUGUCGGACGCUGAGUCCCCUGAGCUGCUCUGUGACUGGGAAGCGGCUUUGUCACCUUCUGUCGCCUGCUUUGCAUUGUCCGUCCCCCGAGACGGCAGUUCUGACCUGAGACCUCCCUCCUCGUGCAGGACGUAUUGCUUAGCAGGACGCUUUCCCUGUCACCUUAGGUGCCACUUCUGACUGGACAUUCCUUCAUCAUCCGUGCUGGAAUCCCUCUCUGGCAACGGAAUCAUCGUCCGUGACGGACACGCUUUUCUCCAGCGCUCGAUGGUCAUUUGCGACGGACGGCGUCUUUCUCCAACCGUGGCCUCCGCCUGCAAACCGCACACACCAGUGACCGCCGCCGCCGCAGCCGGAUUCGUAACCCUGCGCCGCGGCGGGAACCGCAGGAAACCUCCACCUACCGGUUGAGUUACCAUUAAACCGGGGCCUCCUUCCUCUGCACCGGAGAGUUGGCGUCUCACGGGAGACCUUUGCUCUCUACCAACGCGUGUCACGCGUGAUUGUCCAUCCGCAGCAGCUGAGCGGCCGCUCGUUGGGGGAGUCUUGCUUCUCGCUCACGCGAGCUGCCGUCUCGGACUGGACCCUCUCUGCCUCUUGAUGUGUGGCCUGCGACGGCAAAGCGUCUUCCCUUCGCGGCGGCGGCGGUCGGAGCUGCAGGCCGGCUUCUCCUCCGUCAUCCCUCGGGCUGGCGUUUAUGCCCGGAAACCCUUUCCUCCUCCGCCCGGUGGUCGUCAGCGGUGGGAACCCCGUUCUUCUCUCCCAUUCGCGUCAUUGGAGGCUCUUCUUCACGGGGACUUGCCGUCCUAACAGGACGUCCCCCUUCUCCACGCACUGACCGACGCCUGGAAACCCCUGCUCCGUGCCUGGGCAGCGUUUACGUCUGGAAACCGUCUGUCUCGCCACUAAGUGUUCGCCGAUGCCUGGAACCUUCCCCUUCAGCUGAGGCGUCACUCACGGCUGGGACGUCUUUCCGCUUCACUGUAGUGACCGUUCACGACCGGAAACCUGUCGCUACCACCUGAGAAGCCGCUCGUGAGGGGGAGGCCGAGACUGGGGCCGUCGUUGGGAGCGAACGCCCUUCUCGUCUCGCGCCGGUGCUGCCCCACGCAGGGAGCCCCCCUCUGCCACCUGUUCCCACUCGUGCCCGGAGCCCUGCCUUUGUCCCCUUCCCGCUCCCCUGUGCCGGCGUCGCCGUGACCGCAGGCCUUCCUGCCACGGAGCUGCUGCCUGUCGCUGACGAGCCUUCCGCCCGUCCGGCCGGCCACCGCCUGUGCCUGGACGGCUCUCUCGGUCGCCCGAGUUACCCUUUGGGAUCAGCGCACGCUUCCUCUCUCUGCUGCGCUGCCGGUUGCCCGGAAACCUGUUUCUCCGCCACGCGAAUGGCUUUAAUGGCAAGAAAACCUUCUCCGUCCCCUGGGGAUCUGCGACUAGACCCCCUUUCCGGACACCUGAGCUGCGCUUUGCGGCCGGAAGCCUUCCCUGCUUCAGAUUUUUCCGCCGGGCUGGACCCUCCCCCACGUCGGAACGACCAUCUCUGACGGUCGCGUCCUCUAGCGUUGCCGUUCGGGACUUCAAGCCUCACGUCCCCGUCUACUGGGCAGUGGGGUUUGUUUUCUUUUUUUCGAGUGGACACUUUUACUCUGUUAAACGUUAUCAUUUAUGACGGGAAACCUGUUUUCCGAUCACCUAAAGUACCGUUUAUCCCUGGGAACCCUCGUUCUCCCCACUUGUCUUAGCAUUUUGGACCCAAACCAUGUGCCCCUGGCCUUGAGUCCCCCUGUGAUUUAGUUCCCCUGUGACACUGUGCCCCUGUGAUUUAGUUCCCCUGUGAUUUAGUUCCCCUGUGACCAUGUACCCCUGGCCUUGAGUCCCCCUGAGAUUUCGUUCCCCUGUGACCCUGUGCCCCUGUGAUUUAGUUCCCCUGUGACCCUGUGCCCCUGUGAUUUAGUGCCCCUGUGAUUUAGUUCCCCUGUGACCAUGUACCCCUGGCCUUGAGUCCCCCUGAGAUUUCGUUCCCCUGUGACCCUGUGUCCCUGUGAUUUAGUUCCCCUGUGACACUGUGCCCCUGUGAUUUAGUUCCCCUGUGACCAUGUGCCCCUGGCCUUGAGUCCCCCUGAGAUUUCGUUCCCCUGUGACCCUGUGCCCCUGUGAUUUAGUUCCCCUGUGACCCUGUGCCCCUGUGAUUUAGUGCCCCUGUGACCAUGUACCCCUGGCCUUGAGUCCCCCUGAGAUUUCGUUCCCCUCUGACCCUGUGUCCCUGUGAUUUAGUUCCCCUGUGACGCUGUGCCCCCUGUGAUUUAGUUCCCCUGUGACCCUGUGACCAUGUGACCAUGUGCCCCUGUCCUUGAGUCCCCCUGAGAUUUAGUUCCCCUGUGACCCUGUGCCCCUGUGCUUUAGUUCCCCUCUGACCAUGUGAUUUAGUUCCCCCGUGACCCUGUGCCCCUGUGACCAUGUGCCCCUGUGAUUUAGUUCCCCCAUGACCCUGUGCCCCUGGCCUUGAGUCCCCCUGUGAUUUAGUUCCCCUGUGCCCAUGUGCCCCUGUGAUUUAGUUCCCCUGUGCCCCUGUGAUUUAGUUCCCCUGUGACCAUGUACCCCUGGCUUUGAGUCCCCCUGAGAUUUAGUUCCCCUGUGCCCCUGUGAUUUAGUUCCCCUGUGACCCUGUGACCCUGUGAUUUAGUGCCCCUGUGACCAUGUACCCCUGGCUUUGAGUCCCCCUGAGAUUUAGUUCCCCUGUGACCAUGUGCUUUAGUUCCCCUCUGACCCUGUGCUUUAGUUCCCCUCUGACCCUGUGAUUUAGUUCCCCUGUGCCCAUGUGCCCCUGUGAUUUAGUUCCCCUCUGACCAUGUGCCCCUGGACUUGACUUUCCCUGAGAUUUAGUUCCACUGUGAUUAUGUUCCUCUGGACUUGAGUUGCCUUGUGAUUUUGUUCCCCUGUGACUAUGUGCCCCUGAGAUUCUGUUUUCCUGUAAUUGUGUUCCUGAUACUAUUCCCCUGUUACUUUGUUCCCUUGUGCUUCUGUUCCUCUGUGAUUGUUUUCCUAUGAUUCAUUAUGACCCUCUUUCGUUUCCCUUGGUGACUAUAUUCUCCAGGGACUGUGUUCCCAUGGGAUUUUGUUUCCUUGUGAGUCUGUUUCCCUUUGAUUCUGUUCCCCUGUCAUUCUGUUUUUCUGUGACUAUGUCCCUCUGUGAGUAUGUUCCCCUGGAAUUCCAUUCCCCAGGGUCCUUAUUUCCCAGAGAUUCUCUUUUUCCAUAAUUCCCCCUGUGGCUGUGUUCCCCAGGAUUGUGUCCUCUGAUUUUGGUCCCCUGUGAUUCUUUUCCCUUGUGAUUCUGCUCCCUUGUGACUAUGUUCCCCUCUGAUUCUGUUCCCCUGUGACUCCUCCCCUGUGAUGGUGUUUCCCUGGGACUUUAUUCUCAUGAGAUUCUGUUCUUCUGUAAUUGUGUUCCCCUAUCACUUUGUUCCCCUAUCAUUGUAUUCCCCUUUGAUUUAGUUCCCCUGUGCCUAUGCUCCACAGGGACUGUGUUCCUGUGGGACUGCGUUCCCCUGUGAUUCACUUCCCCUUUCGGUUCCCUUAUAACUAUGUUCCCCUGUUAUUGGGUUUCCCCUAUAACUAUGUUCCCCUGUGAUUCAGUUCCCCUGUGAUUUGGUUCCUCUAUAACUAUGUUCCCCCAUGAUUUGGUUCUCCUACAACUAUGUUCCCCUGUGAUUCAGUUCCCCUAGAACUAUGUUCCCCUGUGAUUCGCUUCCCCUAUAACUAUGUUCCCCUCUGGUUCAGUUCCCCUGUGAUUUGGUUCCUCUAUAAUUACGUUCCCCUGUGGUUCGGUUCCCCUGCAUGUUCCCCUGUGAUUCACUUCCCCUUUCGGUUCCCUUAUAACUAUGUUCCCCUGUUAUUGGGUUUCCCCUAUAACCAUGUUCCCCUGUGAUUCAGUUCCCCUGUGAUUUGGUUCCUCUAUAACUAUGUUCCCCCAUGAUUUGGUUCUCCUACAACUACAUUCCCCUGUGAUUCAGUUCCCCUGUAUGUUCCCCUGUGAUUCACUUCCCCUAUAGCUAUGUUCUCCUUUGAUUUAGUUCCCCUGUGAUUUGGUUCCUCUAUAACUAUGUUCCCCUGUGAUUUGGUUCCCCUAUAACUAUGUUCCCCUGUGAUUCGGUUCCCCUGUAUGUUCCCCUGCGAUUCAGUUCCCCUAUAGCUAUGUUCUCCUUUGAUUCAGUUCCCCUGUGAUUUGGUUCCUCUAUAAUUACGUUCCCCUGUGAUUCGGUUCCCCUGUAUGUUCCCCUGUGAUUCACUUCCCCUAUAGCUAUGUUCUCCUUUGAUUCAGUUCCCCUGUGAUUUGGUUCCUCUAUAAUUACGUUCCCCUGUGAUUCGGUUCCCCUGUAUGUUCCCCUGUGAUUCACUUCCCCUAUAGCUAUGUUCUCCUUUGAUUCAGUUCCCCUGUGAUUUGGUUCCUCUAUAACUAUGUUCCCCUGUAUGUUCCCCUGUGAUUCACUUCCCCUAUAACUACAUUCCCCUGUGAUUCACUUCCCCUAUAGCUAUGUUCUCCUUUGAUUCAGUUCCCCUGUGAUUUGGUUCCUCUAUAACUAUGUUCCCCUGUGGUUCGGUUCCCCUGCAUGUUCCCCUGUGAUUCACUUCCCCUAUAGCUAUGUUCUCCUUUGAUUCAGUUCCCCUGUGAUUUGGUUCCUCUAUAAUUACGUUCCCCUGUGGUUCGGUUCCCCUGUAUGUUCCCUUGUGAUUCACUUCCCCUAUAGCUAUGUUCUCCUUUGAUUCAGUUCCCCUGUGAUUCGGUUCCUCUAUAACUAUGUUCCCCUGUGAUUCGGUUCCCCUGUAUGUUCCCCUGUGAUUCACUUCCCCUAUAGCUAUGUUCUCCUUUGAUUCAGUUCCCCCGUGAUUUGGUUCCUCUAUAACUAUGUUCCCCUGUGAUUUGGUUCCUCUAUAACUAUGUUCCCCUGUGGUUCGGUUCCCCUGUAUGUUCCCCUGUGAUUCACUUCCCCUAUAACUACAUUCCCCUGUGAUUCACUUCCCCUAUAGCUAUGUUCUCCUUUGAUUCAGUUCCCCUGUGAUUUGGUUCCUCUAUAACUAUGUUCCCCUGUGGUUCGGUUCCCCUGCAUAUUCCCCUGUGAUUCACUUCCCCUGUAACUACAUUCCCCUGUGAUUCACUUCCCCUAUAGCUAUGUUCUCCUUUGAUUCAGUUCCCCUGUGAUUUGGUUCCUCUAUAACUAUGUUCCCCUGUGGUUCGGUUCCCCUGUAUGUUCCCCUGUGAUUCACUUCCCCUAUAACUAUGUUCUCCUUUGAUUCAGUUCCCCUGUGAUUCGGUUCCCCUAUAACUAUGUUCCUCGGGACUUUGUUCCCCCAGACUUUUUUCUCGUGUGAUUUUAGUACGUUCACUGGGUUUCCACCUAAGCGCCCUUUACCCUGUGACUGGGGAAGCAGCUCAGUCUCUAAGGUGCAGACAUGGAGCUGCUGGAACAGCCGAUGGACGGUGCUGGGAUGCAGGCAGGCAGGUGUCUGUGCAGCAUGGCCAGACUCCCACCUCUGGGCUGCACCCCCGCUGGGGCUCUGAGCGUCCCCACCGUCCUUGUCAACUGCGACGGGCCUCCAGGGCUCCCUUCACGACACAGCACUUUGCCAUUUGGGCAGGUGCGGGCCUGCCCUGCUCUGCUCUGAGGAUGCUGAUUCUGCGCUUUUAGGUUCAUCUUCCAGCAGCCCCAGCUGAAAAGCACUGGCAUCCUUCAUGGUGAUGUCUGCUCCUGUGACUGGCAGUGACCUUCGCGAGACCAGCAGCGACCUCCUGUAAUCGUGUGCCUGGCUGCGUGGACCUGCUCCUUCCCCAGAGUCCCGUCUACACGGACCCCCCACCACUUUAGAGUCGUUUCCCGGAGCCUCAGAAACGCGGCCUCCCAGGCCCUAGUCCUUGCUUUGCCCCAAAUUAAACGCUCCAAACCUUU